CUUUAGGUGGCUGAUUUAAGCAUUGGAAUUUUUAAACCAAAUUAUAGUAUAAAAUACUUCUAAUGA
Molecule: transfer RNA, 66 nt
Filed under: Arescus labiatus
Lineage: Eukaryota; Metazoa; Arthropoda; Insecta; Coleoptera; Chrysomelidae
Description: tRNA-Lys
Source: RNAcentral